Molecule: ribosomal RNA, 119 nt
Filed under: Lottia gigantea (owl limpet)
Lineage: Eukaryota; Metazoa; Mollusca; Gastropoda; Lottiidae
Source: RNAcentral
GUCUACGGCCAUACCACGUUGAAAGCACCACUUCUCGUCCGAUCACUGAAGUUAAGCAACGUCGGGCUCGGUUAGUACUUGGAUGGGUGACCGCCUGGGAACACCGAGUGCUGUAGACU